Molecule: small nuclear RNA, 192 nt
Organism: Cricetulus griseus (Chinese hamster)
Lineage: Eukaryota; Metazoa; Chordata; Mammalia; Rodentia; Cricetidae
Gene: U2
Rfam family: U2 spliceosomal RNA
About the family: U2 is a small nuclear RNA (snRNA) component of the spliceosome (involved in pre-mRNA splicing). Complementary binding between U2 snRNA (in an area lying towards the 5' end but 3' to hairpin I) and the branchpoint sequence (BPS) of the intron results the bulging out of an unpaired adenosine, on the BPS, which initiates a nucleophilic attack at the intronic 5' splice site, thus starting the first of two transesterification reactions that mediate splicing.
Source: Ensembl
AUUUCUCUUCAGCCUUUGGGCUAAAAUCAAGUGUAGUAUCUGCUCCCAUCAGCUGAAUGUCUGCUAUGUCCUCUAUCCAAGGACAGUAUACUAAAUAGAUUUUUGGAGCUGGGAGUUGGAAUGAGGCACUUGUUCUGUCCAUUCCACAAAUUGACCUGAAAUAGCAGUACUCCCAGGAGUGGUACAUGUCCC